This 1368-nucleotide ribosomal RNA is filed under the name uncultured bacterium. RNAcentral describes it as "bacterial SSU rRNA". It matches the Rfam family "Bacterial small subunit ribosomal RNA", at positions 28 to 1393 of the family's 1533-position model. The record is from RNAcentral.
AAUGAACGUUGGCGGCGUGGAUUAGGCAUGCAAGUCGAACGGUACUGGUCUUCGGACCAGGAGAGUGGCGCAAGGGUGAGUAAGGCGACGGCCACCAACCCCAUGGUUGGGCAUAGCCACGAGAAAUCGUGGGUAAUUCCCAGCGAUGUUUUCGGGGGGCAUCCCCUGGAAACCAAAGUACCAACGCCGUGGGACGGGCCGUCGUGGUAUUAGGUCGUUGGCGGGGUGAUGGCCCACCAAGCCUAUGAUGCCUACCGGGCGUGCGAGCGUGGCCCGGCACACUGGGACUGAGACACUGCCCAGACUCCUACGGGAGGCUGCAGUCGAGAAUCUUCGGCAAUGGGCGCAAGCCUGACCGAGCGACGCCGCGUGGAGGAUGAAGGCCUUCGGGUUGUAAACUCCUGUCGAGGGGGAGGAAGGCGCAAGCUUGACCGAUCCCUGGAGGAAGCACGGGCUAAGUUCGUGCCAGCAGCCGCGGUAAGACAAACCGUGCGAACGUUAUUCGGAAUCACUGGGGCUUAAAGCGCGUGUAGGCAGAUGGGGACGUCGGUUGCUGAAAUCCCCCGGGCUCAACCGGGGAACGGGCACCGAAACGCCCCCGUCUGGGAGGGACGUAGGGGGGACCCUGGAACUUCCGGUGGAGCGGUGAAAUGCGCUGGAGAUCGGAAGGAACGCCCGUGGCGAAAGAGAGGUCUCUGGACGUCAUCUGACGCUGAGACGCGAAAAGCUAGGGGAGCGAACGGGAUUAGAUACCCCGGUAGUCCUAGCUGUAAACGAUGGGCACUGGGUAGGGGGCUCGCCGAUGGGCUCCCUGCCGCAGGGAAACCGUGAAGUGCCCCGCCUGGGGAGUAUGGUCGCAAGGCUGAAACUCAAAGGAAUUGACGGGGGCUCACACAAGCGGUGGAGCAUGUGGCUCAAUUUGAGGCUACGCGAAGAACCUUAUCCUGGGCUUGACAUGCACGGAUUAGCCGGCGGAAACGUCGGUGACGCCGCGAGGUGGAACGUGCACAGGUGUUGCAUGGCGGUCGUCAGCUCGUGCCGUGAGGUGUUGGGUUAAGUCCCGUAACGAGCGAAACCCCUGUGGUCAGUUGCCAGCGCGUCAAGGCGGGAACUCUGACCAGACCGCCGGCGUCAAGCCGGAGGAAGGCGGGGAGGAGGUCAAGUCAUCAUGGCCCUUAUGCCCAGGGCUGCACACGUGCUACAAUGGGACGGACAGAGCGUCGCCAGGCCGCAAGGCCGCGCCAAUCGCCAAAAUCGUCCCCCAGUUCGGAUUGCGGGCUGCAACCCGCCCGCAUGAAGUUGGAAUCGCUAGUAAUCGCCGAUCAGCAAUGCGGCGGUGAAUGUGUUCCUGAGCCUUGUACUCACCGC